GGUCUCAUGGCUUAGAUGGCAAAGCGCCUGCCUAGUAGCAAGCAAGCAAGCAGGAGAUCACGAGUUCGAGUCUCGUUGGGACCU
This 84-nucleotide transfer RNA is filed under the name Daphnia pulex (common water flea). It matches the Rfam family "tRNA". From Rfam's summary of the family: Transfer RNA (tRNA) molecules are approximately 80 nucleotides in length. Their secondary structure includes four short double-helical elements and three loops (D, anti-codon, and T loops). The record is from Rfam by way of RNAcentral. Lineage: Eukaryota; Metazoa; Arthropoda; Branchiopoda; Diplostraca; Daphniidae.